This 207-nucleotide ribosomal RNA is filed under the name uncultured bacterium. RNAcentral's name for it is "partial 16S ribosomal RNA". It matches the Rfam family "Bacterial small subunit ribosomal RNA", at positions 568 to 774 of the family's 1533-position model. The record is from RNAcentral.
UCCGUAGGCGGUCUUAUAAGUCAGUGGUGAAAGCCCAUCGCUCAACGAUGGAACUGCCAUUGAUACUGUAAGACUUGAAUACUUAGGAAGUAACUAGAAUAUGUAGUGUAGCGGUGAAAUGCUUAGAUAUUACAUGGAAUACCAAUUGCGAAGGCAGGUUACUACUAAGUGAUUGACGCUGAUGGACGAAAGCGUGGGGAGCGAACA